Molecule: unclassified non-coding RNA, 378 nt
Filed under: Bombus terrestris (buff-tailed bumblebee)
Lineage: Eukaryota; Metazoa; Arthropoda; Insecta; Hymenoptera; Apidae
Description: misc RNA ENSBTSG00005035866.1
Source: RNAcentral
UCUUUUUUUAAAUUUUUACAAUUACGUAAUUAUAGGAUAGUUUCUAUCGGAUUAAUUAGAUUAAAUACUCAAUUCGAUAUUUGAGACGAAAUCAAAAUGUAUAGAAACCACACCGGAAGUCUUAUAAUUCCAUAUAAAUUCCGUUCCGUAUUCGGGUACAAAACGCAGACGCUUGCACCAACUUUGAUCAGACGGGUAGGUCACGUGUUAAUUUCAUUUAUUGCGUCGCGGCUAAGUGUUUAUUGCUUUAGUAGUCCUUUACCGUAUAAUUUGUCCGAAGACCGCAAAAUGGAGUAUAUCUAUCGUGGACAAAAGGCCUAAGAUAUCGGCCGAACCAUAAACAAUGUCGCGAGAGCCGCGGCAUCGUCGGGUACAUCA